UACGUAGGUGGCGAGCGUUGUCCGGAAUUACUGGGUGUAAAGGGCGUGUAGGCGGGAAUGCAAGUCAGAUGUGAAACUCCGGGGCUUAACUUCGGAACUGCAUCUGAAACUGUGUUUCUUGAGUGCUGGAGAGGAAAGCGGUAUUCCUAGUGUAGCGGUGAAAUGCGUAGAUAUUAGGAGGAACACCAGUGGCGAAGGCGGCUUUCUGGACAGUAACUGACGCUGAGGCGCGAAGGUCAGGGGAGCAAACGGG
RNAcentral lists this ribosomal RNA (253 nucleotides) under uncultured bacterium. Its description in RNAcentral is "partial 16S ribosomal RNA". It matches the Rfam family "Bacterial small subunit ribosomal RNA", at positions 524 to 776 of the family's 1533-position model. The record is from RNAcentral.